CCGAUAUUGUCCUACCUCUUGGACCUGUUCAUCCGUUCGAUACUAGCGCAGGUGGGAGUCAAUCAUGCCAACCGAGAGAUGUAAUCAUGUGACAAGCCUCUACUGCCAGGUGAGGUAUUUGAAAUUUAUAUUUGCCGCCUUCUUCCAGCUUGUAACUGAAACACUCGUCAGGUUGUCGUGGGCAUGUCAGCCCAGUCUUGAGGUAUGUACAGCUCUUCAAUCCACAGUUUCAGAUAUCAUGUAGCCGCAGAACACAAGGUUCUCCAAAUGUAGUAUAUCCUCAGUGUAAUAGUAAUGAUGAUUUAUGUAAAAGAGAAGAUUUUAUGGUGGGUUUAACUAGUAAAUAUUAUCAUCUCUUCGUACUGUGUCACAUUUGCAUGUAAUAUGAUUUUAUAGCAUGUAAUUUAUUUUAUCUGAGACAUUAUAUUUGCACAUAUACCAUUAGUGGUUAAAGUGUCAUCCUGAACCUCCUAAAAGAACCUACGUUUUGAAUCUGAAGAAGUUAUACAUAAUAACAAUAUGAGAUACACUAUGUACUGCAUAGACGAGAUAUGGGGAAAAUAUCCAAGUAUGGAGAUCAUCAUUUACUCAUGAACGGUGAGGGAUUUACUAAAUUUCACUGGUGUCACGUGACACCAAUUGGAGUACCUUGGAAAAUGAAGGGCGAAAAUGGUGUUUGCCAUGCUUUGCUCAGUGUUGUUAAUUCCUUGGUAAUAUGAAAGAAUCUACCAAUACUUCGAAAGCGCCCUUCUAAUCCUGAGCUUGAACGCCAUGAACAGUAAAAACUGAUAUAUAUUUUUAUAAUGAACAUUGCUUAGUUUUCUUUUUACAUGCAAAUUUUUGUGCUGAAAUCAUAUUCCUGAAGGUUUGGGCAAAAAUAACAAAAUGGCACUCCAAAUGCUUUUAGAAGUAGUCUUUUUGUAGCAUUGAUUUUUUUCCCACGGCACUGGAAUGUGUUUUCUUCACAGAAAUUUGCAAGUCUGUAGAACAUUCAACAAUGUUUGUUGCAAAAAGAAAAAUCAGAUUUGUUUAAUUUUUUACCAUUGUUUUAGGUUUUACUAUUCACAGAGGUGCAUUUGAGCUCGGGAGUAGAAACUGCACGUCUCCAAUAUUUCACAUACUCAAGGCACAACCAUGUGCACCAAAAUUAGAUUGUGUUUCUCAGGAUAGUGGCUUGUUAGGCCAACUCUAACCGACCCCCUAAAAAAUAGAGAAGGAUCCGACUGAGUAGAUUUAAGAGGAGUAAACUUUUACUCCUUUAAAGGUGGCCGCACCUAGCUGAUCUUCUAAAUUGAGUGGAGUAAAAAAAAAUGUGUCCUAGCCGCAUGAAGUACAAAUACUUGACAAUAUAUAUAACUAUUCAUCACCUAGGAUGCAAAAUAAUUUAUUCUUCAUCCGAGGUAAUCUUACGAUCGUUUUGUAAAUAAAUUAAAUUUGGUAUACGAAUUGUUACAUUCAUAUCAAUUCACACCGUAAAAUUUGGCAUAAAAAAACAAAACUAUAGGUCAUAAGACAAAAAAAAAA
This 1524-nucleotide long non-coding RNA is filed under the name Triticum aestivum (bread wheat). RNAcentral describes it as "long non-coding RNA (TAES_LNC008513)". The record is from RNAcentral. Lineage: Eukaryota; Viridiplantae; Streptophyta; Magnoliopsida; Poales; Poaceae.